CUCUCUCUCUCUCUCUCUCUCUCUCUCUCUCUCUCUCUCUCUCUCUCUCUCUCUCUUAUCUCUCUCAAUCGUCUCCGCGUGUCUUCUUUAUCAUUGCUGGGCCAUAACGUGUUAAAAUCGUUGGAUCAACCAAUUACUUUGCAAUGUAUUUUGGGUUCGAGCUCCAAAGUACUCAUCUUUGGGGUCAAGGUACUUGUGACUGAUGGAUGACUGCAGUUGUUGUGGAGAUGAUGACGAUGUGGUGCGAUUUGGAUUUGUUAGACUGGUCUGGUCGAUUGGAAUAUUCUCGGGUUUGUUGAUUCUUAGGGGAAGAUAAUGAGAGGGAGAUAGAAGAAAGGCAAGAAAGACUGUGGGAGAAUGCGUAAUGGGCAGAUUGAAGGGAACAAGAAGAAGUAGAAAGCUGUUCAUUUGAACAAGAAUGUGCUUCGUGUCGUUUCAGAAAGAUGCUGCUGCUGGUAGCGCUGAUUUGAAGUCAGAACAUGCCUGGUCAUGUCUCUUAGGGAGAUAUCUAUUCAAGGAUUAUCCAUUAGAAGGUUAUUGAUCUUGGACUCUGCCGGGUGUAUACAUGUCUCUGGUCGUCAUCCUCUCGGAUCAAUCUUUGCUUGUCAUAUGCAGCAGUUGCCUCGCUUUAUGGAUGUAAUGAUCCCUUGUUCUUGAAAUGUCUGUUAGUUACAAAAAGCUUUUGGAUUUCAGACGGGGAUAUUAUUUCAUGCUUAGGGUGACAAGUCUGAUGAGGAAGCUAUCAUAAAAGAGAAAGAUAGAGUUAAUAAGAUAAGAGAUGAAAUGAAAGACCUAUACAAAACUUGGAUUUAGGUGCGGUAACACAUAAAAUAUUUACCAUAAAAUUCGAAUGUCGAGUGUCCAUGGAAUUCAAAUCAAACUCUUGUACCAAAAAAUAAUAGCGGAAUGUUUAUUCUGCUUUCAGAGUAAUUUAAAUGAAAACAUGGACCAUAACUGAGAUCAGAUGAUGAAUGUGACAUGGUGAUUAUAA
Molecule: non-coding RNA, 991 nt
Organism: Camelina sativa (false flax)
Lineage: Eukaryota; Viridiplantae; Streptophyta; Magnoliopsida; Brassicales; Brassicaceae
Source: RefSeq, a predicted model, not a curated record